This 301-nucleotide ribosomal RNA is filed under the name uncultured bacterium. Its description in RNAcentral is "partial 16S ribosomal RNA". It matches the Rfam family "Bacterial small subunit ribosomal RNA", at positions 509 to 809 of the family's 1533-position model. The record is from RNAcentral.
CAGUAGCCGCGGGAAUACGAAGGGUGCAAGCGUUAAUCGGAAUUACUGGGCGUAAAGCGUGCGUAGGCGGUUUGUUAAGUCUGUUGUGAAAUCCCCGGGCUCAACCUGGGAAUGGCAAUGGAUACUGGCAAGCUAGAGUGUGUCAGAGGAUGGUGGAAUUCCCGGUGUAGCAGUGAAAUGCGUAGAUAUGCGGAGGAACGCCGAUGGCGAAGGCAGCCCCCUGGGCCAACACUGACGCUGAGGCGCGAAAGCGUGGGGAGCAAACAGGAUUAGAUACCCCAGUAGUCCCUGUCUCUUAUAA